Long non-coding RNA from Tarenaya hassleriana, 569 nucleotides. RefSeq lists it as uncharacterized. The record is from RefSeq and is a predicted model, not a curated record. The transcript is spliced from 2 exons. Lineage: Eukaryota; Viridiplantae; Streptophyta; Magnoliopsida; Brassicales; Cleomaceae.
UGCACAAGUUGCCAGUAUGGUUGGAUUGUAAGAAUGACGAGGACCUAUUGGAGAUUGGGCCUUCAUUCAUUCUAAUAUUCUAAUAUAAACUUGGGCUUGGAUCAGGUCUACCAAGCGGCGCGUGCAGAAGAGGUCAGAACCUUCCACACAUAGUCGAAACCGCCGCUGCAGAGUGGUCAUCCCAGGAAACUUCCCCAUCAGAUGUUUCCCCAUCUGUCACCAUUUCCGGCUAAGGAACUCAACAAUACCCUCCAAGCAGCAAUAGCACAAGAAUCCUCACAUGCGGUCAUAGUGGCCUUGAGAUCAUGCUGUGGUGUCGGAGGAGCGAAGGGAAGCAGACAAGAGGCGUACCCGUCUGUCCGAAUCCAGGCCGAUAUAUUAGUUGGGACGGAGUUGACUUGACACAGAAAGCUUAUAGGCAUAUUUGUACAACUAACUACACAAGUUUUCUCUUGAGUAGAGUAGGAUCGAGUCUACCGUCUAUCCAAUUGUGUUUCUUUGCCUUCAUGUAAUGAAAUUUAGCGGUCAAUUAUAUCAAAUAUCUCUGCAGGAAAAUUUCACAAACCCAA